RNAcentral lists this ribosomal RNA (460 nucleotides) under uncultured organism. RNAcentral's name for it is "bacterial SSU rRNA". It matches the Rfam family "Bacterial small subunit ribosomal RNA", at positions 1 to 461 of the family's 1533-position model. The record is from RNAcentral.
UGGAUCCAGACUUUGAUUAUGGCUCAGGAUGAACGCUGGCGGCGUGCCUAAUACAUGCAAGUCGAACGAAUCUUCUUCGGAAGAUGAGUGGCGAACGGGUGAGUAAUACAUAGGUAACCUGCCCCUGUGCGGGGGAUAACAGGAGGAAACUCCUGCUAAUACCGCAUAGCCAUGAGCACCGCAUGGAGCUCAUGCCAAAUAUCCUUCAGGGGAUAGCGCAGGGAUGGACCUAUGGCGCAUUAGUUAGUUGGCGGGGCAACGGCCCACCAAGGCAACGAUGCGUAGCCGGCCUGAGAGGGCGGACGGCCACAUUGGGACUGAGACACGGCCCGGACUCCUACGGGAGGCAGCAGUAGGGAAUUUUCGGCAAUGGGGGAAACCCUGACCGAGCAACGCCGCGUGAGCGAAGAAGGCCUUCGGGUCGUAAAGCUCUGUUGUAAAGGAAGAACGUCGCAUGCAG